Molecule: ribosomal RNA, 259 nt
Filed under: uncultured bacterium
Lineage: Bacteria
Description: partial 16S ribosomal RNA
Rfam family: Bacterial small subunit ribosomal RNA
Source: RNAcentral
GAUCCUGGCUCAGGACGAACGCUGGCGGCGUGCUUAACACAUGCAAGUCGAACGUGAUUUUUAUGGAAGAACCUUCGGGGACGGAAGUAAAAUGAAAGUGGCGAACGGGUGAGUAACACGUGAGCAACCUACCUUACACAGGGGGAUAGCCGUUGGAAACGACGAUUAAUACCGCAUGAGACCACAAUACUGCAUGGUAUAGGGGUCAAAGAUUUAUCGGUGUAAGAUGGGCUCGCGUCUGAUUAGCUAGUUGGAAGGG